UCACUCUGGUUUCUCUUCAAUCCCACGCAUAAAUCUUUCGCCCUUUACUAAAGAUUUCCGUGGAGAGGAUUCGAAGAUGUCAUACUCUCAUCGGGCCUUAGGAUUUUACGAAUCAAGGAGAGU
This is a small nuclear RNA of Lineus longissimus, 123 nucleotides long. RefSeq annotates it as U5 spliceosomal RNA. The record is from RefSeq and is a predicted model, not a curated record. NCBI's taxonomy places the organism in Eukaryota, Metazoa, Nemertea, Pilidiophora, Heteronemertea, Lineidae. The transcript has a single exon.